CCGAGCGAGAAUUCUCUGAAUUCAACCUCCCACCCGUGUUUAUUGUACCUUGUUGCUUCGGUGCGCCCGCCUCACGGCCGCCGGGGGGCUUCUGCCCCCGGGCCCGCGCCCGCCGAAGACACCAUUGAACGCUGUCUGAAGAUUGCAGUCUGAGCAUCUUAGCUAAAUCAGUUA
This 174-nucleotide unclassified non-coding RNA is filed under the name uncultured fungus. RNAcentral's name for it is "sequence contains ITS1, 5.8S rRNA gene". Lineage: Eukaryota; Fungi. The record is from RNAcentral.